Molecule: ribosomal RNA, 433 nt
Filed under: uncultured bacterium
Lineage: Bacteria
Description: partial 16S ribosomal RNA
Rfam family: Bacterial small subunit ribosomal RNA
Source: RNAcentral
AACGAACGCUGGCGGCAUGCCUAACACAUGCAAGUCGAACGAGACCUUCGGGUCUAGUGGCGCACGGGUGCGUAACGCGUGGGAACCUGCCCUUAGGUUCGGAAUAACUCCCCGAAAGGGGUGCUAAUACCGGAUAAUGUCUUCGGACCAAAGAUUUAUCGCCUUUGGAUGGGCCCGCGUUGGAUUAGCUAGUUGGUAGGGUAAAAGCCUACCAAGGCGACGAUCCAUAGCUGGUCUGAGAGGAUGAUCAGCCACACUGGGACUGAGACACGGCCCAGACUCCUACGGGAGGCAGCAGUGGGGAAUAUUGGACAAUGGGCGAAAGCCUGAUCCAGCAAUGCCGCGUGAGUGAUGAAGGCCUUAGGGUUGUAAAGCUCUUUUACCCGGGAUGAUAAUGACAGUACCGGGAGAAUAGGCUCUGGCUAACUCCGUG